UACGAAGGGUGCAAGCGUUAAUCGGAAUUACUGGGCGUAAAGCGCGCGUAGGCGGUUUGAUAAGUGAGAUGUGAAAGCCCCGGGCUCAACCUGGGAACUGCAUCUCAUACUGUCAGGCUAGAGUACGGUAGAGGGGGGUAGAAUUCCACGUGUAGCGGUGAAAUGCGUAGAGAUGUGGAGGAAUACCAGUGGCGAAGGCGGCCCCCUGGAUCGAUACUGACGCUGAGGUGCGAAAGCGUGGGGAGUAAACAGGAUUAGAUACCCUGGUAGUCCACGCGGUAAACGAUGUCAACUAGCCGUUGGGGACGUAAUGUCUUUAGUGGCGCAGCUAACGCACUAAGUUGACCGCCUGGGGAGUACGGUCGCAAGAUUAAAACUCAAAUGAAUUGACGGGGGCCCGCACAAGCGGUGGAGCAUGUGGUUUAAUUCGACGCAACGCGAAGAACCUUACCUACUCUUGACAUCCUCAGAACUUUCCAGAGAUGGAUUGGUGCCUUCGGGAACUGAGAGACAGGUGCUGCAUGGCUGUCGUCAGCCCGUGUCGUGAGAUGUUGGGUUAAGUCCCGUAACGAGCGCAACCCUUGUCCUUAUUUGCCAGCACUUCGGGUGGGCACUCUAGGGAGACUGCCGGUGACAAACCGGAGGAAGGUGGGGACGACGUCAAGUCAUCAUGGCCCUUACGAGUAGGGCUACACACGUGCUACAAUGGGGCAUACAAAGGGUUGCGACCCCGCGAGGGUGAGCUAAUCCCAUAAAAUGCCUCGUAGUCCGGAUUGCAGUCUGCAACUCGACUGCAUGAAGUCGGAAUCGCUAGUAAUCGUGAAUCAGAAUGUCACGGUGAAUACGUUCCCGGGCCU
This 857-nucleotide ribosomal RNA is filed under the name uncultured bacterium. RNAcentral describes it as "bacterial SSU rRNA". It matches the Rfam family "Bacterial small subunit ribosomal RNA", at positions 524 to 1381 of the family's 1533-position model. The record is from RNAcentral.